GCGACGACGGGUAGCCGGCCUGAGAGGGCGACCGGCCACACUGGGACUGAGACACGGCCCAGACUCCUACGGGAGGCAGCAGUGGGGAAUAUUGCACAAUGGGCGAAAGCCUGAUGCAGCGACGCCGCGUGAGGGAUGACGGCCUUCGGGUUGUAAACCUCUUUCAGCAGGGAAGAAGCGAAAGUGACGGUACCUGCAGAAGAAGCGCCGGCUAACUACGUGCCAGCAGCCGCGGUAAUACGUAGGGCGCAAGCGUUGUCCGGAAUUAUUGGGCGUAAAGAGCUCGUAGGCGGCUUGUCACGUCGGUUGUGAAAGCCCGGGGCUUAACCCCGGGUCUGCAGUCGAUACGGGCAGGCUAGAGUUCGGUAGGGGAGAUCGGAAUUCCUGGUGUAGCGGUGAAAUGCGCAGAUAUCAGGAGGAACACCGGUGGCGAAGGCGGAUCUCUGGGCCGAUACUGACGCUGAGGAGCGAAAGCGUGGGGAGCGAACAGGAUUAGAUACCCUGGUAGUCCACGCCGUAAACGUUGGGAACUAGGUGUGGGCGACAUUCCACGUCGUCCGUGCCGCAGCUAACGCAUUAAGUUCCCCGCUGGG
Molecule: ribosomal RNA, 593 nt
Filed under: Streptomyces sp.
Lineage: Bacteria; Bacillati; Actinomycetota; Actinomycetes; Kitasatosporales; Streptomycetaceae
Description: bacterial SSU rRNA
Rfam family: Bacterial small subunit ribosomal RNA
Source: RNAcentral